This 468-nucleotide ribosomal RNA is filed under the name uncultured bacterium. RNAcentral describes it as "partial 16S ribosomal RNA". It matches the Rfam family "Bacterial small subunit ribosomal RNA", at positions 28 to 507 of the family's 1533-position model. The record is from RNAcentral.
GACGAACGCUGGCGGCGCGCCUAACACAUGCAAGUCGAACGGAGCUGAGAGAAGCUUGCUUUUCUUAGCUUAGUGGCGAACGGGUGAGUAACGCGUGAGUAACCUGCCCUGGAGUGGGGGACAACAGUUGGAAACGACUGCUAAUACCGCAUAAGCCCACGAUCCGGCAUCGGAUUGAGGGAAAAGGAUUUAUUCGCUUCAGGAUGGACUCGCGUCCAAUUAGCUAGUUGGUGAGGUAACGGCCCACCAAGGCGACGAUUGGUAGCCGGACUGAGAGGUUGAACGGCCACAUUGGGACUGAGACACGGCCGAGACUCCUACGGGAGGCAGCAGUGGGGGAUAUUGCACAAUGGGGGAAACCCUGAAGCAGCGACGCCGCGUGGAGGAAGAAGGUUUUCGGAUUGUAAACUCCUGUCGUUAGGGACGAUAAUGACGGUACCUAACAAGAAAGCACCGGCUAACUACGUG